CUGGUCCCGGCAUCACCGCCCUUCCACGUACCCGACACGGCCAUACCCAAUGGUCUGGUAACCCUAAGACCUAAUUGAUCGCCCGUGCAGAGGCGGUCAGAUCACCUGUGUGAAACGAGGGAUUUCUCCAGGGGKUUUCCCCUCAACCCAAGCAAACCCCGCAGCUGGUCAGGGUUCCUGGUGCCAGGCAGCAGCGGAGAUGCCCUCCCUCCUGCCCAGCUCAUCUCGUGGGGUGCAGAGCCCGGGCCUGCCUCAUCGAGGCAUAGCCUGUGAGUGGUUCGUCCAUGCCCUCUGCACGAGUCCGGAGUGAGUUGCACGCACAGCUUCAGCCACAUUUU
This 338-nucleotide non-coding RNA is filed under the name Prototheca cutis. The record is from RNAcentral. Lineage: Eukaryota; Viridiplantae; Chlorophyta; Trebouxiophyceae; Chlorellales; Chlorellaceae.